Molecule: ribosomal RNA, 449 nt
Filed under: uncultured bacterium
Lineage: Bacteria
Description: partial 16S ribosomal RNA
Rfam family: Bacterial small subunit ribosomal RNA
Source: RNAcentral
AACGAACGCUGGCGGCGUGCCUAACACAUGCAAGUCGAACGAGAUCUUCGGGUCUAGUGGCGCACGGGUGCGUAACGCGUGGGAAUCUGCCCUCUGGUUCGGAAUAACAGUUGGAAACGACUGCUAAUACCGGAUGAUGACGAAAGUCCAAAGAUUUAUCGCCAGAGGAUGAGCCCGCGUAGGAUUAGCUAGUUGGUGUGGUAAAGGCGCACCAAGGCGACGAUCCUUAGCUGGUCUGAGAGGAUGAUCAGCCACACUGGGACUGAGACACGGCCCAGACUCCUACGGGAGGCAGCAGUGGGGAAUAUUGGACAAUGGGCGAAAGGCUGAUCCAGCAAUGCCGCGUGAGUGAUGAAGGCCUUAGGGUUGUAAAGCUCUUUUACCCGGGAUGAUAAUGACAGUACCGGGAGAAUAAGCUCCGGCUAACUCCGUGCCAGCCGCCGCCGUAA